CCAAGUGGGAUAUUUUUGCGUGUGUAUUAGUGAAAAUCUUAGGAUUAGUUACUUGUAGAUGUAUACAAUGCUCUAAAAGAGUGAUUUUUUAGAGAAAUAUUACCACCAAAGUUGAACCGUUCUCACGACAGUCAGGUCUGCGUAACCGGAACGGAGCCGGAUUUUAUUCGGCCAAGGACUAUCAACUCGGCACAAUUAUGUCGCUACAACAAUCACCAGAGCUGUAUUUCAUUCAAAUUACAAUGAAUUUAGUUCAAUUAAUAUUACUACGUUGGCAUACAACACUGCAUUGCUAUCACUGUAAAAUAAAGAUGGCCGCUAUUCACCUCCAGAAAUGUCAUAAUGAAAAGGUUUACUUCUAUAGUCUCGUGGAGCACAAUUUAUAACACAUUUUCUGCAAUAACUUAUCGUACAAUUAAAAAAUGGAAAUUACCCGUGAAUCUUCUUUCGAUGAUGAGGAUUUUAGAAAGAUUACCGAGAAUAAUUACCAAAGAAUCCGCACCAAAUUAGCUAAAGUAAGAACCACAAUUACAAACACAUCACAGUAAGAUAUUAGGUAUGCCGAUGGUGUGUCAGAUGGAAAAGAAGAAACAGUACAAAUGGCCUUUAACAAAGGAUACUCGGAUGGGUUGCGUACGGGUUUCGAACUUGAGAAAUAUAAUGCGCUUUCUCUAAAUUUGGAAAUUUAUAAUGAAGAAAUAUUUAAAGACUUGUAACCGAACCAUCUCUAUAUGACUUUAUAGUACACAUUGCGACAGAUAUAAAACAUACUCACGCGGCUAAUAAAAGUCCAGAAUGCCUGAAUACGGUUUACCAACUUUAAAAUUGUUAUUUAAAAUAAUUCUGAAGCAAAUAAUUGUAAGCAAACCCUUCCUUUAACAACUAAUUUAUUAUGUUCACAAAAUGUAGAUUAGAUAUUUAUGUGUUAUUUUAAGAAAUAAAUGGUUUUAUAAAUACAA
Bactrocera oleae (olive fruit fly) is the source of this 959-nucleotide RNA transcript. RefSeq lists it as uncharacterized. The record is from RefSeq and is a predicted model, not a curated record. Lineage: Eukaryota; Metazoa; Arthropoda; Insecta; Diptera; Tephritidae.